CCACAUAAAUAUCUGACCUCUGCGGAUCGUCCACACGAAGCUCCCGUCUGAUCAGCUCCUCACGAAUGCUAGUUCGUGAUUUCAUCCUUUUGAUGGCAGAUGUUGAUCGAACUCCUUCGAUCGAUGUGUGCUGACUUCUCGGAUGCUCCAGAUCAUCUGCACAAUUGCUUGAGAGGCUGAUGGAUCUCUCCCUAAAAUUUGGUGGACUCACGACACUCGUGGCACACCAAUCUCACUUCCCGAACCCUAGGUAGAAACUCUAGGGUACACACCAAAAACCCUGCGCCCAAUUUUCUCUCUUUUCUUUCUUUUUCUCUCGAAAGGUUUUGGACCUUCACCUUGCACAGAAGCCUUCCUCACGCCCCAAAGUUUCUCUCCUAAAAUUUCUACGCAUGUCCCACCUUUCUUCUCUUUUUAAAACAACAUCGAACGUGUCUUAUCCGCGUGAGAGGAUAAAGAUAAGAGGUUACACAUUUGAAUUCAAAUCAAAUUUGAAUUCAAACAAAAACCAACUUAUCCCUAUACUUUUGGACGUGAGAAGAGAAGGGGCGUGGCUCUUUGUGCGUGGAAAAUGUUUCACGAGAAACCUUUUCUCGUGUAAGUAAUGUGGCGCACAAAAUGGAUAAGGAUGAAAGGGCAAGUGAUAAGUUAUCCAUUCAAAUUCAAACAUGCUUUGAAUUUGAAUGGCUAACUAAUUAUUUUAUCCAUCCAUAUGGCGCACAAAUGAGGGCGUGGGGAAGGGUUUUGCGUGAGAAAAAUUUCAUGAGAAGUUUCUUCUCGUGAAUUCAAAUAGGUGCAAGGAAGUUGGGUGUCGCAGGAAAUUUAAAACAAGGUGGUUUGAUUCAAAUUGAGCCAACCUAGUUUAAAAUAGGUUAAGCACAAUUAGACCAGAUUAAACCUAACAUAAUUAGGCUUAAUUAGGCUCAAUAAAAUUCUAAUCAAAUCAAAAAUUAACUAAACCUAANN
Molecule: long non-coding RNA, 966 nt
Filed under: Elaeis guineensis (African oil palm)
Lineage: Eukaryota; Viridiplantae; Streptophyta; Magnoliopsida; Arecales; Arecaceae
Description: long non-coding RNA (EGUI_LNC036061)
Source: RNAcentral